Callithrix jacchus (white-tufted-ear marmoset) is the source of this 1939-nucleotide RNA transcript. It is a transcript of the gene named enoyl-CoA delta isomerase 1, with no coding region annotated. The record is from RefSeq and is a predicted model, not a curated record. Lineage: Eukaryota; Metazoa; Chordata; Mammalia; Primates; Cebidae.
GGCGACGGGAUGAACCCGGCGGGCAGGUGGAGGCCGUGACCCGACUCCGGGAAGGGGGCGGGGCCUGGUCCCGGGGCGAACUCCGGCCCGUUCUCACGAGGCCAGGCCAGGCCGCGACUCUCGGCCGGCGCAUUCCGUUCAAGAUGGCGCUGGCGGCUGCUCUGCGAGUCCCGGCGCGCAUGUUGCUCCGCGCGGGGGCCCGGCUCCCGGGCGCGGCCCUCGGGCUGACGGAGCGGGGGGACGGCGCGCGGCGCUUCGGGAGCCAGCGGGUGCUGGUGGAGCCGGACGCAGGCGCAGGGGUCGCUGUGAUGAGACUGAACAACCCCCCAGUGAACACCCUCAGCCUGGAGUUUCUGACGGAGCUGGUCAUCAGCCUGGAGAAGCUGGAGAAUGACAAGAGCUUCCGCGGUGUCAUCCUGACCUCGGACCGCCCCGGCGUGUUCUCGGCUGGCCUGGACCUGACGGAGAUGUGCGGGAGGAGCCCCGCCCACUACGCCGAGUACUGGAAGGCCGUGCAGGAGCUGUGGCUGCGGCUCUACCAGUCCAGCCUGGUGGUAGUCGCUGCCAUCAACGGAGCCUGCCCCGCCGGAGGCUGCCUGAUAGCCCUGACCUCUGACCACCGCGUCCUGGCGGACAACCCCAAGUACAGCAUAGGACUCAAUGAGACCCUACUGGGCAUUGUUGCCCCUUUCUGGUUCAAAGACACCCUGAUAAACACGAUCGGGCACCGGGCAGCCGAGCGCGCCCUGCAGCUGGGGCUGCUCUUCCCGCCGGCGCAGGCCCUGCAGGUGGGCAUAGUGGACCAGGUGGUGCCGGAGGAGCAGGUGCAGAGCAUGGCACUGUCGGCGAUAGCCCAGUGGUUGGCCAUUCCAGACCACGCCCGGCAGCUGACCAAGGCCAUGAUGCGGAAGGCCACAGCCAGCCGCCUGAUCACGCAUCGCGACGAGGACGUGCAGAACUUUGUCAGCUUCGUCUCCAGAGACUCCAUCCAGAAGUCCCUGCAGCUGUACUUAGAGAGGCUCAAACAAAAGAAAGGCUAACAGCUGGGCUGCCACAGGCGCUCUGGGUCCCGGUGGGAUCGUAAACAAGGUAUUCUGCAAGUUAAAAGUACCGCCAGCGUUUUGUUUUGCUGAUCUUACAGAGAAGGUCCUGUUCCUCGUCUUCCCCCCAACACACACAUACGGGUGCCUGUGCCCAGCAGGCAAGGGGGGUUGGAGGGCAGCCUUUUGACUUGGCAUUGUGAUUGGCAGGGGGCACCGUUCUGGACCUGGUGAGGUCACCACUGAGUGUCUCCAUUCCCAAGGCGGAAUCGUAAAUCAAGUCCCUGGUCAUCCACCCCAGCCUUUGGACUGCCCGCUCUUAGGUGUAAGCCCAGGUGGUCUUUGCCCCCAUGACCCACACAGGACCCCCCAGAGAAAACCCUUUGGCCGCUGCCCUUAUUCAUCUGGAUGAAGAGUGGACCGCGAAUCGGAGCAACUGGGGGAUCCGUAGUGGGCAGGAGUGGGACUCUGGAGGAAGCUAUGCUGCCAGGGCUCGAGUGUCCCUUAAGGAUUUUGCAUGGCCAGGGCCUGGUGGUGAGUGCCUGUAAUCCCAGCUACUGAAGAGGCUGAGGCAGAGAAUUGCUUGAAUCCAGGAGGCGGAGGUGAGCCGAGAUUGCACCACUGCACUCCAGCCUGGGCACCAGUGAGACAACUCAUCCAAAGCCCUGAAACAAACGUGUUUCCUCCCAUGUGAUUCAGACCAGGUUCCCAAAUGCUGGUCAGAAGUGAUGUUUCAAAAACCAGAAACUGCCGGGCACACUGGCUCACGCCUGUAAUCCCAGCACUUUGGGAGGCUGAGGUGGGUGGAUCACCUGAAGUCAGGAGUUCAAGACCAGCCUGGGCAUCAUGGUGAAACCCCGUCUUUAAAAUAAACAAACAAAUAAAAUCCAGAAACUUCA